UUUUUUACAUCCACAAUAAAAAUUAUAAAAAAAAAUUCAACACUAAACAAAAAUUACAUUACUUAAUUUCAAAAUUACAAAAUAGUCUGUAAAACUCAAGAAAACAAUUCUGGGAAGCAUUCUGGGUCUGCCUGAACAGUAGCGGCACGUUGCUCCAUGCCCCGCCGCCAAUGGUGGCGCGUAGGUUCACGAUCCGCCGCUGAUGAAGACCGAAAACCAGUGGAUCGGGAACGUCUUCUUCUUCCCUGUCUUUCUCCGCCGACGGUGAGGGUCACCGUUACCUGCAACAUUAAGAAAAACGCACAAAAAAUAGUCGGUUUUAGUUUUUUUUUUUCUUUUGUUUUUCCAGAUCUGCCUCUCUCUACAGCUACCUUUCUUUUUUGUUUCCCCUUUUUCUCUAUUUCAAGCGGCUAGUUCUGAGGUCCGGGAGUUUGUGGCUUGUGGGCGACGUAUUUUGUCGUGCUUGGACUGCCACUGGAGAAGGGCCGACUGAUCUGAGUCGGUGGGCGCCGCUGUUCUUGGGCUGCUAGUGUGGGAGGAGAUGGGGGUCCGUGAGCUGAAGGAUGUGAAAAGGGGGCAAUCUGUGAAGGCCGGCGAUGGGGCUGCUUCCGCGGGCGCCACUGUGUGUAGGCAGCUGCUGGAGGCCGGUUGAAGGAGGGCAAGCUAGGUUUGUCGGGUAGAGAUGGGAAGACGGUGGCUGGUUUUUUGCAAGGAGGAAGAUGAGGGAGUAGGGGGUAGUUGUGGGUCCGUUGUUUUGGCAGAGGGAGAUGAACGACGGGUGUUGGUCAGCCGCUGGGGAAGAGGAAGAAGGAGAAAAAAAAAUCCAAAGAGGGGCUGGCGGCUGCCUUUUUGGUAAGGGAAAAGAAAAAUUAAGCUUUUAGGGUGUUAUUUUUUUUGAGUUGCCUCCCCCUUCAAAUGUCAAAAUUACCCCCUUUUGGUUUUGAGUUUUGAACCUAUAUUUAUAGGUAAAAUAUUGUUCG
This 980-nucleotide long non-coding RNA is filed under the name Populus tremula. RNAcentral's name for it is "long non-coding RNA (PTRE_LNC003075)". The record is from RNAcentral. Lineage: Eukaryota; Viridiplantae; Streptophyta; Magnoliopsida; Malpighiales; Salicaceae.